This is a non-coding RNA of Monodelphis domestica (gray short-tailed opossum), 324 nucleotides long. The record is from the annotation of a RefSeq genome assembly. Lineage: Eukaryota; Metazoa; Chordata; Mammalia; Didelphimorphia; Didelphidae.
AUGGGGUCUCAGGCUCAGCUGUUCUGCCUCCUGCUUCUCUGGAUCCCAAGUUCCAGAGGGGCCAUUGGGGUGACCCAGUCUCCAGCCUCCCUGGCAGUGUCUCCAGAAGAGAAGGUCACCCUGUCCUUCAGGGCCAGUCAGAGCAUUAAUGAUCACAUACACUGGUUCCAACAGCUCCCAGGCCAGGCUCCCAGGCCCCUCAUUUACUGGGCUUCCAACCUACACUCUGGGGUCCCUGCCCGGUUCAGUGGCAGUGGCUCUGGGACAGAUUACUCUCUUACCAUCAGUGCUGUGGAACCAGAGGAAAUCACAGACUAUUACUGA